This 2067-nucleotide long non-coding RNA is filed under the name Monodelphis domestica (gray short-tailed opossum). Its description in RNAcentral is "lncRNA (ENSMODG00000048584.1)". Lineage: Eukaryota; Metazoa; Chordata; Mammalia; Didelphimorphia; Didelphidae. The record is from RNAcentral.
GUAUUGAUUUUAAGACAGAAAGUAAAGGUUUUUUAAAUAACUUUAUACGAGUAGAAAUUCAUCUAACUGUUAACAAAAAAAUAUUGAGGUUUACUUAAGGGAAAUACUGUCUGAGCAGACAAGAAAACAUUGAUUCUAUUGAGCCAUUUUUCCAGUCUUAUUCGUAAUGCUGGUCUCUGGUCAAAAGCUGGCCAAUCCCUUAUUUUCCCUCCUUGUUUUUAUUCAUUUCUCUCCUUCACACAUUCUGAAAUCUAGUCAGACCAGCCUCGAUGUUUCUUACAUGCCUGCUAUCUCUGUAACUUUGCAAUGUCUGUCUCCUGUUCCUGGCACGCACUCCCUCCCCAUUUCUGCCACAUAGAACACCUUUUAUCUCCUCUCUAAAAAAAUUCAGAUACCAACAAUGUGAAACUGCCUCUGAUUUUCUCAGCUACUAGUACCCUCCCUGAAAAUAACCAAAACAGUCAUGUAUUUAUUUUAUGUAUAUUGGCAGGUUGUCUCCUCUAGGAGAAUAUAAUUUUCUUAAAGGUAUGUUGUGUUUAUUUAUUCAUUUCUCUCUCUCUCCUCUCUUUCUUUCUCUCUCUUUCCUUCUCUCUUUCCUUUUCUUUCUUUCUUUCUUUCUUUCUUUCUUUCUUUCUUUCUUUCUUUCUUUCUUUCUUUCUUUCUUUCUUUCUUUCUUUCUUUCUUUCUUUCUUUCUUUCUUUCUUUCUUUCUUUCUUUCUUUCUUUCUUUCUUUCUCCCCUCUCAAGUUUCACUUCAAAAAACAAUUGUUCAUGGAGCCCCCAAGUGGAAAUUUUCUCUCCCUUUUAACAUUUCUUUCUUUCUUAUAGAAGUUCUGCUCUUUGAGUCCUACUCAGUCCCAGACUCCUCUCACAGUCCAUACCUAUACUUUUCCUAUCUCUAGCAUCUUUAUCUCCUGGUACAUUCUGUUUUGAAUUAUAAAAAUUCAGGUACAUGUCUUAUCUCUCUUACUGAUUUUUAGUUUUUCAAUUUUAAAAUGUGGGGUUUGGAUUCCAGUGAUGGCCUCUGAGGUUCCUGUUGGUUGAAUUUCUAUGUUUUCCAUCCCAGAGGGCAGGGGCUGUGUUAUUUUCACCUCUGAAUCUUUUAUCAAAUCUAUUCCAAUGCAAAGAUAUAAUAGAUGUCCCACAAGUGUUUGUGUUCUAGUGACAUUGGCCUACGUAAAGUGCCUUGAACACUAUCCUGUAUUUUUACAUUAGGCAUCCCCAGUACCUACAAUGCUCUGCUUUUCUCAUUUUCAUUUCAAGACUCAAAUCCCACCUAUUCUAGGAGGACUUUUCUGGAUCCUCAGCUACUAAUGCUUCUCCAAUCAGAUUACGUCCCAUCUCCUCUGUAGAUCUCUUCUGUCUACCUAGUUGUUUACAUGUUGUUUAUCCCUUUAGAAUGUGAGCUCCUUGAGGACAAGGACCAUGAUGUUGUCUUUCUUUAUAUACCAUAUCUUAGCACUAUGUGAUUGGCAUAUGGAAGUGCUCUCAUUUUUAAACGCUUAUCUUCUGUCUUGGAAUCAAUAUUUACAAAUCAGUCCCAAGGCAGAAGAGCACUAAGGGUAGACAACAGCCUAGUAUUAUUGGGGUUAAGUGACUCAUCCUAUCAGGGGGCAGCUAGGUGGCUCAGUGGACAGAAAGCCAUGCCCAGAAAUGGAAAAAUCUUAGGUCUCUAUCUGGGAUCAGACACUUCCUAUCUGUGUGAUCCUGGGCAAAUUCAUAAGUGUCUGAGGCUAGAUUUUAAUCCAUGACCUCCCAUCUCUAGGUCUGGCUCUCUAGCCACUGAGCUACCUACCUGCCCCACUGUAGUAAGCUCUUUUUUUUUUUUAAACCCUUACCUUCCAUCUUGGAGUCAAUACUGUGUAUUGGCUCCAAGGCAGAAGAGUGGUAAGGGCUAGGCAAUGGGGGUCAAGUGACUUGCCCAGGGUCACACAGCUAGGAAGUGUCUGAGGCCAGAUUUGAACCUAGGACCUCCCGUCAGGACUGGCUCUUAAUCCACUGAGCUACCCAGCUGCCCCCUGUAGUAAGCUCUUAAUAAAUGCUUGAUGACUGAUUUUGUUGUUGUUCA